Long non-coding RNA from Quercus lobata, 983 nucleotides. RefSeq lists it as uncharacterized. Lineage: Eukaryota; Viridiplantae; Streptophyta; Magnoliopsida; Fagales; Fagaceae. The record is from RefSeq and is a predicted model, not a curated record. The transcript has 6 exons.
AAGGAAAAGAAAGAUUGCUACACGGAGAAAGGAGAAAGAGAGACCGAGAGAAAAGUGAGACAGAAAAAUAGAUAGGCAGAGAACGGAGAAGGAGAGAGAGAUCGAGAGAUCAAAAACUGCAGUUUGCAAUCAAGAAUGAAAAGAUGUCUCUUACUUCCUGUUAGAUUUUCUGCCAUCACCGUAAGCCUCCACUCGCUACCCGACCAUCGGAAUCACUACUGAUUUGGUUUUGAUUAAGGGAUACGAAGAUAGAGGAACCAAGCAGAGUUCGUUAGCGUUACAGAGAAAGGGAAGGAGACAAAAAAAAAGUUUGCGGCACAGUGGAGAUUCGACUGAAACUGAAAGAUAUUUAGAUUCCAAAAACAGCGAUUGAUAGAGAUCAUAAGGCAGAGAGAGAAACAUUUGAGGACUGCCAUUACCGCCAUUCUGGCCUUCCACAAUCAUGAUUCAUCCGAAACCGAAACAUUUAGAAUCAACAUUAAGAGAAAGUUGGUAACUGUAAGUCAUGCACAAAGACGAAGAGAUGGACAGCGAGAAAGAGGAAAUAGAGUAUUCCCACCCAUUGGCAGAUUUUGUAGCUAUCUGAAUUCUGGGCUGUACAUGAACCACUAACAAAUGGAGAAUCAAGGUAACUAUUGACUGUCAUUCACAUGGGCAACAAAGCUCUACAUCAACUUUGACAUUUCAAAAGUCACAAAGGAAAUUAUGCCAAAAGGACCUCCUAAAGGAUUGGAUGGAUAACUUUCUUACAUAAUAGAAAAAUAGUUGCUAAAAUAGAAGACUUGGAUGCAUAAAAAAUGUUUAAGAAUUAUGCACCAAGUUCUAUUCCUUAUACCCUUUUCUUAUUUACUUAGUUUUCUGUUUUAUUUUAGAUUAUGAGAGAUUUAAAUUUCUGUAUUUAGGCUAUGGUUUUGUAAUCUAAGCAUCCUAAGAUUCUUAUAUCAACAUGAAUUUAAGUUUUGUAAUAUAUGUGAUUCUAAUUU